RNAcentral lists this ribosomal RNA (328 nucleotides) under uncultured Glomus. RNAcentral describes it as "SSU rRNA". It matches the Rfam family "Eukaryotic small subunit ribosomal RNA", at positions 766 to 1098 of the family's 1831-position model. Lineage: Eukaryota; Fungi; Glomeromycota; Glomeromycetes; Glomerales; Glomeraceae. The record is from RNAcentral.
UUAGAGUGUUUAAAGCAGGCUAACGCUUGAAUACAUUAGCAUGGAAUAAUGAAAUAGGACGUUCGAUCUUAUUUUGUUGGUUUCUAAGAUUGACGUAAUGAUUAAUAGGGAUAGUUGGGGGCAUUAGUAUUUAAUUGUCAGAGGCGAAAUUCUUAGAUUUAUGAAAGACUAACUACUGCGAAAGCAUUUGCCAAGGAUGUUUUCAUUAAUCAAGAACGAAAGUUAGGGGAUCGAAGACGAUCAGAUACCGUCGUAGUCUUAACCAUAAACUAUGCCGACUAGGGAUCAGACAAGGAUCUUUUGACUUGUUCGGCGCCUUACGGGAAAC